This 330-nucleotide unclassified non-coding RNA is filed under the name soil metagenome. Its description in RNAcentral is "partial contains 5.8S ribosomal RNA, internal transcribed spacer 2, and large subunit ribosomal RNA". The stretch from base 1 to 120 matches the Rfam family "5.8S ribosomal RNA", at positions 35 to 154 of the family's 154-position model. The record is from RNAcentral.
GAUGAAGAACGUAGCGAAAUGCGAUAAGUAAUGUGAAUUGCAGAAUUCAGUGAAUCAUCGAAUCUUUGAACGCACAUUGCGCCCUCUGGUAUUCCGGGGGGCAUGCCUGUUCGAGCGUCAUUAUAACCACUCAAGCUCUCGCUUGGUAUUGGGGUUCGCGGUUCCGCGGCCCCUAAAGUCAGUGGCGGUGCCGUCCGGCUCCGAGCGUAGUAAUUCUUCUCGCUCUGGAGGUCCGGUCGUGUGCUCGCCAGCAACCCCCAAUUUUUUUCAGGUUGACCUCGGAUCAGGUAGGGAUACCCGCUGAACUUAAGCAUAUCAAUAAGCGGAGGA